UUGGAAAAGCCACAUAGAGGUCAAACUCUGUCUAGCUAUCCGUCUAUAAAGAAAUCCAGACAGCGUAAUGCAGCAUUUUAUGAACAACAAGUGGAUCUUCUGGGAAUGACAGAAUCCUCCCUACGAAUUAGAAGCAUGGAAGGAUUCGUUACACUUUAACAUGUUUCUUCAGUGACAUGUGCGACCUUGACUUUUAAUUAUUCAAGAGUGGCAAGUAUGGAACCUAAAGUGGAUUGUUGACACAAGAUGCCUGGAAAUAAGGAGAAUUAUGAAAGACAUACUGUUGUUUUAAAUUUCAAACCACAGUUACCUGUGUAACUAAAGAACCUGUAAGUCCCUCAAUAGGAAAAAGUGGAAACUGACCCAGAGGAUGCCAGACAGAAGGAUAUAUCCAAUUGCAGUUCUUACCAGCAUACAGCCCAGAAUCAUUUUUCUAAUUAUUGACUGUGUGUGAAGUUUUCCCCCUUGCGUAACAGCCUGCUGGCCUUGGAACCCAGCCACUCUGUCUCCUGAUGUACUGGCGCUUCCUUUGUCUUAACUUGGAAAGAUCCCACCCAGGGUAUUACAGCCACUUUGUUCUUCUAUCUGUAAGAUAUCAAUAUCACAUCUAUGGUUCCCAAGUACAAUUAAAGCAAGAUUAAGUUUUUAAAAAAUUGGCCAGGUACUGCGGGUCGUGCUUGUAAUCCCAGCA
RNAcentral lists this long non-coding RNA (691 nucleotides) under Homo sapiens (human). RNAcentral's name for it is "HSALNT0294856". The record is from RNAcentral. Lineage: Eukaryota; Metazoa; Chordata; Mammalia; Primates; Hominidae.